UCUUUUUCGAUGUUUCAUUUUUUGAUUUUUUUCAUUUUAAACACUCGUUCAAGAAUCAUAACUUUGCGUUUCCUUCAGCAACUUGAUACUGGUAAACCACUUUUCUAUGAAAAUACUGUUAAAAAACCCUCGCAUGGUACGAAAAGAAGCCCUAUAGAAGGUAACGUUGUGCCUUACGAAGUUACGUUUUCAACAAGUUACAGUUUUUUUCUUAAUUCCUACAUCAAUUAUUUAUAGAACAGAUAUAUUAUUUUAUUAUAACAUUGGCAAUGGAUGACAGCGAAUCCGAGAUCAAGAUAUUUCACUAAUAAUUUCAAAUAAAAAAUUUAAUUGGAAUGAAAAUGGGGAAUAUGUGCUAAAAAGACAACAACACGACCAAAGAGCUGAGAACAGCUGAAGGCCACCAAAUGGUCUUUAAUGCAGCGAGAAACUCUCAUUCAUGGAGGCUUGCUUCAAUUGACCCCUAAACAAAAGUUACUAGUUCAGUGAUUAUGGACUUCAUAGUCAUACUAAACUUAAGUUAGAAUUAUACACAAGAAUCUAUAAUUGAAAAUCAAAGGCCAGACGAUCCUGACUUGGGACCCUAGAGAAUUUAAGCAUUACAAAUGUAAUUAUAAGGGCCUCAAUGAACAUGGACAAAACUAAUACAUAAAGAUUUUAGACAUGAAUAUUAAUAAAAAAGAAGAUGUGGUAUUCUUGCCAAUGAGACAACUGUCCACAAGAGACCAAAAUGACACAGACAUUAACAACUACAGGUCACUGUAUGGCCUUCAACAAUGAGCAAAUCCCAUACUGCAUAGUCAGCUAUAAAAGGCCCCAAUAAGACAAUGUAAAACAAUUCAAACGAGAAAACUAUAAAAGGCCUUAUUUAUAUAAAAAAAAAUGAACGAAAAAUAAAUAUAAUAUAUAUAUGUAACACAUAAAAAAACGACAACCACUGAAUUACAGGCUUCUGACUUGGGACAGGCACAUACAUGAAUAAUGUGGCGGGGUUAAACAUGUUAGCGGGAUCCCAACCCUCCCCUAACCUGGGACAGUGGUAUAACAGUACAACAUAAGAACGAACUAUAAAAAUCAGUUGAAAAAGGCUUAACUCAUCAGAUGGACAAAAAUACAAAUGGACGUGAAAUGAAGCCUUUUUGCUACAUUGUAUAUGUAUAAAAUAUGUAAUAAUGAAUAUUAUACCUAUUUGUAUUUGUUUUUAUUUCAGCUUGAUUCCAAUCUUUGGCAAUGGCUAAUACAAGAAGAGGCAAGGCAUACAUGUACAUGUAUAUGUACAAUACAUGAUUCUCUGUAGCAAUUGGAUUGUCUAUUCACCC
Molecule: long non-coding RNA, 1319 nt
Filed under: Mytilus galloprovincialis (Mediterranean mussel)
Lineage: Eukaryota; Metazoa; Mollusca; Bivalvia; Mytilida; Mytilidae
Source: RNAcentral